This 74-nucleotide transfer RNA is filed under the name Breznakia pachnodae. RNAcentral describes it as "tRNA-Trp". It matches the Rfam family "tRNA". From Rfam's summary of the family: Transfer RNA (tRNA) molecules are approximately 80 nucleotides in length. Their secondary structure includes four short double-helical elements and three loops (D, anti-codon, and T loops). Further hydrogen bonds mediate the characteristic L-shaped molecular structure. tRNAs have two regions of fundamental functional importance: the anti-codon, which is responsible for specific mRNA codon recognition, and the 3' end, to which the tRNAs corresponding amino acid is attached (by aminoacyl-tRNA synthetases). tRNAs cope with the degeneracy of the genetic code in two manners: having more than one tRNA (with a specific anti-codon) for a particular amino acid; and 'wobble' base-pairing, i.e. permitting non-standard base-pairing at the 3rd anti-codon position. The record is from RNAcentral. Lineage: Bacteria; Bacillati; Bacillota; Erysipelotrichia; Erysipelotrichales; Erysipelotrichaceae. RNAcentral also lists the same sequence under 7 other names.
AGGGGUGUAGUACAAUGGUAGUAUAACGGUCUCCAAAACCGCUGAUACGGGUUCAAUUCCUGUCACCCCUGCCA